UGAGGAAUAUUGGUCAAUGGGGGAAACCCUGAACCAGCGACGCCGCGUGUGGGAUUGACGGGGCUUUGCCCUGUAAACCACUGUCAGACGGGAGGAAAAGUCCGUUCGGCGGACCGGGACAGUACCGUCAGAGGAAGGACCGGCUAACUACGUGCCAGCAGCCGCGGUAAUACGUAGGGUCCAAGCGUUGUCCGGAUUUACUGGGUGUAAAGGGUGCGUAGGCGGAUUUGUGCGUCAGAGGUUAAAGCCCACGGCUCAACUGUGGAACAGCCUUUGAUACGGCAAGUCUUGAGUAUGAGAGAGGAUGGUAGAAUUCCUGGUGUAGCGGUGAAAUGCGUAGAUAUCAGGAGGAAUACCAGUGGCGAAGGCGGCCAUCUGGCUCAUUACUGACGCUGAGGCACGAAAGCGUGGGGAGCAAACA
RNAcentral lists this ribosomal RNA (421 nucleotides) under uncultured bacterium. RNAcentral describes it as "bacterial SSU rRNA". It matches the Rfam family "Bacterial small subunit ribosomal RNA", at positions 355 to 774 of the family's 1533-position model. The record is from RNAcentral.